CCUACGGGUGGCAGCAGUGGGGAAUAUUGGACAAUGGGCGAAAGCCUGAUCCAGCCAUGCCGCGUGAGUGACGAAGGCCUUAGGGUUGUAAAGCUCUUUUGGCGGGGACGAUAAUGACGGUACCCGCAGAAUAAGCCCCGGCUAACUUCGUGCCAGCAGCCGCGGUAAUACGAAGGGGGCUAGCGUUGUUCGGAAUCACUGGGCGUAAAGCGCACGUAGGCGGACUGGUCAGUUGGGGGUGAAAUCCCGGGGCUCAACCCCGGAACUGCCUUCAAUACUGCUAGUCUUGAGUCCGAGAGAGGUGAGUGGAAUUCCUAGUGUAGAGGUGAAAUUCGUAGAUAUUAGGAAGAACACCAGUGGCGAAGGCGGCUCACUGGCUCGGUACUGACGCUGAGGUGCGAAAGCGUGGGGAGCAAACAGGAUUAGAUACCCUAGUAGUC
This 440-nucleotide ribosomal RNA is filed under the name uncultured bacterium. RNAcentral describes it as "bacterial SSU rRNA". It matches the Rfam family "Bacterial small subunit ribosomal RNA", at positions 338 to 795 of the family's 1533-position model. The record is from RNAcentral.